Molecule: long non-coding RNA, 348 nt
Filed under: Coffea arabica (coffee)
Lineage: Eukaryota; Viridiplantae; Streptophyta; Magnoliopsida; Gentianales; Rubiaceae
Description: long non-coding RNA (CARA_LNC004365)
Source: RNAcentral
CAUAUCAAGAUACAAUUCCAAGUCCUCUGCCCAAACAAGACUUCGGACAGCAGCCUAGCACCGCCCAUACCACCAAUCCAAAUCCAUCACCAACUCCACAAGUAAACCAACUCUUACACUCAAUCAGCUCCAAAACCACGGCACUCUUUCAUCCACUUCCACUUCACAUUCCAAACCACAACUGCAACUCUUCUGCUUAGUUAUUAUCGACAAAGAGGAGCUGAAGGAGGAAGCCGCGAGUUGCAUUUCCCUUUUGUCUUGUCCGUAAGCUGAGGGAGAAACCAGAGAACCAUCACCACCUUCGAUAACUUCAGACCAACAUCACAACUGCAAUCUUAACCACUCUGC